CAGUAGCCGCGGGAAUACAGAGGGUGCGAGCGUUAAUCGGAUUUACUGGGCGUAAAGCGUGCGUAGGCGGCUUCUUAAGUCGGAUGUGAAAUCCCUGAGCUUAACUUAGGAAUUGCAUUCGAUACUGGGAAGCUAGAGUAUGGGAGAGGAUGGUAGAAUUCCAGGUGUAGCGGUGAAAUGCGUAGAGAUCUGGAGGAAUACCGGUGGCGAAGGCGGCCCCCUGGACAAAGACUGACGCUCAGGUGCGAAAGCGUGGGGAGCAAACAGGAUUAGAUACCCCCGUAGUCCCUGUCUCUUAUAC
Molecule: ribosomal RNA, 301 nt
Filed under: uncultured bacterium
Lineage: Bacteria
Description: partial 16S ribosomal RNA
Rfam family: Bacterial small subunit ribosomal RNA
Source: RNAcentral